GUGUAGCGUACCUACUAGCCUACGACGGGUACGGGUUGUGAGAGCAAGAGCCCGGAGAUGGAUUCUGAGACACGAAUCCAGGCCCUACGGGGUGCAGCAGGCGCGAAAACUUUACAAUGCCGGCAACGGCGAUAAGGGGACCUCGAGUGCCAGGUUACAAAUCUGGCUGUCGUGAUGCCUAAAAAGCAUUGCAUAGCAAGGGCCGGGCAAGACCGGUGCCAGCCGCCGCGGUAACACCGGCGGCUCGAGUGGUAACCGUUAUUAUUGGGUCUAAAGGGUCUGUAGCCGGCCGGAUAAGUCUCUUGAGAAAUCCAGCAGCUCAACUGUUGGGCUUUCAGGAGAUACUGUUCGGCUCGAGGCCGGGAGAGGUGAGAGGUACUUCAGGGGUAGGGGUGAAAUCUUGUAAUCCUUGAAGGACCACCAGUGGCGAAGGCGUCUCACCAGAACGGACCUGACGGCAAGGGACGAAAGCUAGGGGCACGAACCGGAUUAGAUACCCGGGUAGUCCUAGCCGUAAACGAUACUCGCUAGGUGUCGGCCACGGUGCGACCGUUGUCGGUGCCGUAGGGAAGCCGUGAAGCGAG
Molecule: ribosomal RNA, 584 nt
Filed under: uncultured archaeon
Lineage: Archaea
Description: bacterial SSU rRNA
Rfam family: Archaeal small subunit ribosomal RNA
Source: RNAcentral